This 253-nucleotide ribosomal RNA is filed under the name uncultured bacterium. RNAcentral's name for it is "partial 16S ribosomal RNA". It matches the Rfam family "Bacterial small subunit ribosomal RNA", at positions 524 to 776 of the family's 1533-position model. The record is from RNAcentral.
UACGGGGGGGGCAAGCGUUGUUCGGAAUUACUGGGCGUAAAGGGCUUGUAGGUGGCCAACUAAGUCAGACGUGAAAUCCCUCGGCUUAACCGGGGAACUGCGUCUGAUACUGGAUGGCUUGAGUGUGGGAGAGGGAUGCGGAAUUCCAGGUGUAGCGGUGAAAUGCGUAGAUAUCUGGAGGAACACCGGUGGCGAAGGCGGCGUCCUGGACCAACACUGACACUGAGGAGCGAAAGCCAGGGGAGCAAACGGG